Molecule: small RNA, 162 nt
Filed under: uncultured Buttiauxella sp.
Lineage: Bacteria; Pseudomonadati; Pseudomonadota; Gammaproteobacteria; Enterobacterales; Enterobacteriaceae
Description: rncO
Rfam family: rncO
About the family: This family represents a bacterial regulatory element (rncO) found in the rnc leader sequence. The rnc operon is negatively auto-regulated by transcript stability. rnc, the first gene in the operon codes for RNase III which cleaves the long rncO stem II leading to transcript degradation and a reduction in translation.
Source: RNAcentral
AUUUAGGUUGGCUCCCGCAAGGGAGCCACGGCACACGAAACAGCGUUGGCUACCCUGGUUCAGGUCUGUUCCGUGUGCUGAAUAAUUGACGCAUUCAUUGAUUGGUAUCGCAUGAACCCCAUCGUAAUCACCAGGCUACAGCGUAAGCUGGGCUAUACUUUU